AUUUGUACUGCUCUAGGUCAAAGAGAGUUUUAUGAUGCAGAAGAAACAAUUAAAUUAUUGGCCCAAUUCCAAAUCCCCAAACCUAAUAUCCGUUUUGAUCUCUCUCUAGCCUCUACAGACCUAUAAGUAAACCAUUUUUUUUUUCCAAUUUCAAAUACUGGCCUCCAAUUCCAUCUCCAUUCUCUGAAAUUUGAAUCGUCUUCUCCAGGUAGCUAUUUAUUUUUUAUUGUGGUUUUAUGUAUACGGUAUCAAGUGUAUAAUUAUUCUCCAACAGUUGAUUUGUAAGUUUUUGAUUUAAUCAAGUUCUUCUUUAUGAUGUGGGUUUUGAGGAUUUUGGGGACUGUAUGAAAAUACAACACCAACUUGGGAAGAAAUUUCCAGAUUAUUUGAGGAUUUCAUAUCAUUUUGACUUUCUUAUUUCUGGAUUUCUCCUCUACCACCAACUUGAAUAGAAGGAUCUAGAAUACUUUGCUUCACUGACCAUGGAAAUGUCCAGAAAUUUGAAGAAUUCAUUUCCACCGCCAUUUCACGCAAGUGGGAGAGCAGGAAGAAAAGUAAGAGAGAGAGAGUGUGUGUGUGUGUGUGGCACUGCAUAUAUAUUGGUGUGUAUAUAGUGUGUCUGUGUGUGUAAGGUGAGAAAGAAUUGGGAGAAAGUGAGAGAUAUAGAUACAGCCGUGUAUGUGAGUUUUUGGAGAAAGAAAUUGUCAUUCGAAUGAAUAAAAUAUUAGAUAGUGGACCUUGUUGAGUGACCAAAAUUGUAAAAUUACAUUUCAUAAAUAAACUUCUAUUUUGGUGUUUAAAUUCAAUAGUGUAAUCAGAUAUUAAUAUAAUUUGCAUCUUAAAAUCGUGGGACAAGGUUUUAGUCAGUUGGAUUGAUUGACUUUCUAAUUUCUAUACAUGCUGUAGUUGUUUAUGUUUUUUCAUGGAUAUGGAGAAAAAUUGGCAGAGUUACACUCACUAAACAUCAUAGAAAUUAGAUUCUUUUUUAUAAUUUUUUUCUAAAAAUGUUCGUAGUUACUGAUUUUCAGUAUAAUUUUCUACAUGGAUCUCAGUUUUUACUCUCCAUUUUUUUCGUCUACAUUUUUUUUAAUUGUAGCAUGAUUUUACGAUAAUAGUGUUUGCGCUUCUUAGCUAAACCUUCGUUUCGAAUUUCAAAUUUGAAGGUGCAAACGUGAAGCAGUGUAGGAAAAGCUUGAAAUUUGAGCAUAUUCUCCUAGUAAGUAAAUAUCGUCUUUCCUCAUUUCAUUGUUUGUGGCCUUGUUGGCAAUAUUGAAAUUGAACAAUGUUGUCUUAUUGGCUUUAUGAGUUGUUUUUGUUGCUUGUUGGUUUAAUGAAUUGUUUUUGUUGCGACGUUACCUUAAUGAAUUAUUUUUUCUCCCUUGUUAUCUUAAAUUUUAGCCCGUGCGUGUGAAACUCCUGGAUCUGCCCCUGAUACAAAGUACUUUAGCAUAACAUAUUAAUGUAAGAAAUACAAGGAAAAUAAAAGAAAGUGAUCACUCGAAUAAUUAAACUAUGAAGAGAAUCUGGAAUUCUUCAAUUAAAGCCUUCAAAUCCAUAUCCAAAUGAUUGAAUUCUAUGUUCUUUGAUAUAUAUUCUCUUUGUUUUCUCUCAAAGGUUAGCUCUCUAUAUGAUCCCCUUAGGUCUGGACAUGUUCUCCUAUUUAUAUGAUGCCAAGAAGGUUGUUUACCAAAAUAAAAUAAAGAAACCUAAAUUUUUUCGCCGUUUACCACUGAGGCAUGUGCCUAGUGUAAUUUAGGGUACAUGCAUGGGAGCCUUGGGUGCCUCAGUCACCUCAUUGGUUAAGGGCGCGUAUCAUAACUUUCUCUCCCGAUAUUUGAUUGAAGUGAUUGAAUGUGCAUUGAAAAUCUUACUCAUAGGGCUAUAAUUUUUCUAGAAUUAUCAUUUUUUCAAUUUGAACAUUCGCUAUGCCAAUAUUGGGUCUCAAUAUGAAGUUGAAAAUUAGAAGCAUAACUUUUUCGUAUGGAAGUUGAUGUAUGAUAAUAUUUUGACUAUAAUUAAUCCUUUUGACUUCGUUCCUCAUCCAAUUGACCACGAGCACUUUAAAUCUUCAUCAGGAGGUCCAAAACAUUUUUUGAGUAUUUGCAUUUUAGUCCUCGAACUUUGGAUUUGCUUUGUUUUAGCCCUUUCUCAUUCUUUCUUCCAAUUAUUCUUCGAAAGAUGAAAUUUUCCUAAUAAAAGUAGUAAAUAACAAAUUAGGUACUAAUCCAUUCAAAGAAUAACAAAAUAUCAUCAUUUAGGAUUCUAAAUAAGUGUAGAAAUUACACUUAUCAUGUGGAUGUUCUAUCAAGGUUUCAUUGCAAAACAAGAGUGGCGGGUGAUCCUUAAACUUGACUAAUAAGUAGAUUUGAUUUUUCAAAAUAAAUUAGUGUUAAAUGUACUUCUUGACAAUGGGAGGUAAGUACGCGCACCCUUCCUUUAGAAGAGCAUUUAUGGGACACCAGUUGUUGGAAAAGGGGUUAUGGUGGCAUGUUGGUAAUGGAAAACAUGUGCAAGUUUAUUAGGAAUUCAAGUUGAUGUCAACACCAUAUGGGGAUGUCACUCUUGUUCGAGUCUGGAUUGCUGCUCCAAGCAUGUAGUAUNNNNNNNNNNNNNNNNNNNNNNNNNNNNNNNNNNNNNNNNNNNNNNNNNNNNNNNNNNNNNNNNNNNNNNNNNNNNNNNNNNNNNNNNNNNNNNNNNNNNNNNNNNNNNNNNNNNNNNNNNNNNNNNNNNNNNNUCUAGUCAGGUGAUGCUGAAGCAUUUGCUUUGCGAGAAGGUUUGAUGCUGGCAGAAGGUGUGGUUAAUUGUGGUUCUUAUUGCUUUAUACCUCGAGGGGAAAUGUAGCUCACGAACUAGAAUGUUUUGUUAUUUUUGGUUCAUUCACUACUUGGAUUUUUUGUAUUUCAGUUUUUAUAUUACCUACUUUUCAAGAUGAUUUUGAUUAAUACACAUAUGAAGGUGUUGAAAGAAGGGGGGGGGGGGAAUACAAGUGAAUAAAGAAUGCCCUAUAACUCAUUACAAACAUUUUAUGAGGGAUGGUAGUAUUUCAUUUUUACAAAUUGAAUGUUCCUAUUAGUUAGUGAAUUUGUAAUUAUUCAAGCAAUUAUGAUGAUAAUAUAUUUUAUAUCAAUAAGAAAAUUUCAUUCAUAUAAUUUGACAUAUUCUAGAAUGCUUUUGAAAUAACAUAUUUAAGAAAUGGACAAGAAUCCUGCAAGUUGAAAAGUCCAUUUCCAUUUCCAUAUUUAUUUAGGGACAGUGAUGUAUAAUCAUAAUUAAUAUUUAGGGUAAUAUUACUUCGAGAGUAUUAAAAAAAAAAAAAGUAUGACAUGAACUUGCUCAUUUCAGAUUUGCGUAUGUUGAUUGUGCUAUUUUCUACUUUAUUACCAAAAUUGGCAAUACAGUUUCUUGUGGUUAGUGCUGUGUUGAUUAAUUGGUUUUAUGUUAUUACACUUUUAGGCUCUGUUUAAGUCGCAUUCUUUCAAAAAAUACAUUCUUAAACAAUGAUUUGAUAUGAUUUAAACUACGCAUUUUUCAAUAAAAUAAUAUUACACGCAAAUUCAAAACUUUUUUUUUUUCAUUUUUUAACCACACAUUUUCCACCAAUCACUAUUUCAAAUUAUAUUUUUCAAAAUAAAGUGGCUCAAACACACAUUUACCCCCUGUUUGAGUCUCAUUCUUUUGAAAAAAUACAUCUUUCAACAGUAUUUUGAGAUCAUUUCACCAACGUAUUCUUCAAUAAAAUAAUAUUACAUGUAAAUCCAAUUUUUUUUUCUUAUUUUUAACCACACAUUUCCUAUCAAUACAUUAUUUAAAAAUACAUUCUUAGAAAAAGAAUGAGGUUCAAACAAGAGCUUAAUUACGUAUGCAGUUGCACCAAAAAAAUAUUUAAUGAAUUUUCAAUUAGCUUUAUUAAAUUCUUUUUAAAUAUUAAAUUAUGCCGGCUUUUUAAUUAUAUAUCAACCUUUUUUUUUUAAAUCCAUUUUAUAAUUUUUUAAAUUUAAUAGCAAUAGUUAUAAUUUUUUUUCUUUUUUAACUAAAAUGAUCUCAUCUAAUAAAUAAUAAAAAGAAAGUAAUUUAAUUUAAAUAUUAAAAAUAGUACGUAAGGGUAAAAUGAAAAUGAUUAUUAUUUACCUUUUGCUGAGGAGAGAAUAUGUUAUCAAGAGAAAUUUUUUUAGGAGAUUUAUGAAAUUUUUGAAAAUAGAGAGGAUGUGUACGUAAUUGUCAUAAACGUGAGGAAAAGUUUAUGUAACUUGUUCUACCUUUUAUAAAUAUGAAAGUUUCCUUCCUAUGCUUUGAGAUACUAAACUGUUUAUUGUAGAAUGACAUUUUUAAAUAGCAUAAUCAAGAGAAGGACAAGGUUUUUCGCAAAAUGAAAUUCCUUUUCUUUUUUAAUAUAUAAGGAUGAAUAAUCAUAUAGAAUAGAAGAUUGAGAUAUCUUCCUUGAACAAAUCAUGAUAAGUAGCCAGCCUGUGUGUUUAUUAUUUUUUCUAUUAUAUUUAGGUUUUGUUUGGUUCCCACUUUUUUAAAAUUUAGUUUUUCUUUUUUUUUUUUUUUUAAAAAUCAUUUUCAAUCCCAUAUUUAACAUAAUUUACUAUUUUAUCAAUUUAUCAACCUUAAUAUAUGCACAUUUUUAGUUUUAUUCAAAGGUUGUCACGUAAUUCUUCAUUUUUAUAAUCCAAAAAGUCAAAGAAAGCAUGUUUUGUUUUCUUGUGGUAAUCCAGUUCUUAAACAGGUAGAGACCAGUAAUCCAAACUAGACAUAAUCAUGGAGAAAUCUCACUACUUUGCUGCUGCAAUUCUUUUGAUAGUCACUCUAAUGGUGUGUUUGGCCAUGUCGGAAACCAAUGUCACUACAGAUCAAGCUUCUCUUUUGGCAUUGAAAGCACAAAUCUGUUUAGACUCUUCAGGAAUUCUGUUGAAGAACUGGUCAUCUUCUGCCUUGGUUUGUGACUGGAUUGGAGUCACUUGUAGUUCUCGCGACCAAGAGUGACUGCAUUGGAUAUUUCUGGUGUGAAUCUUAUUGGAAACGUACGGCCUGAUUUGUGAAAUCUCUCUUUCUUGUUUCUCUCAAUGUAAGUCACAAUAAUUUUUAUAAUACUCUGCCUGAAAGCUUAGCUCAAUUGCGUCAGCUAAGAAUAGUUUAUAUUAGUUUCAACAAUUUCAGUGGAUAAAUUCCAUCGUGGUUUGGUUUCAUGCCCGAACUGAAAGUUGUGAAUGUUAGAAAUAACAGUUUUACUGGCUUCAUCCCACCCUCACUAUUUAACAUAUCUAGUGUCCAGGAUUUGGAUUUGUCUUUCAAUUCCCUACCAAGAAGAGUCCUAGAAGACAUAGGAAAUCUUUCAUAUUUGAAAAUGCUGAAAUUACAAUACAACAGGUUUAUUGGUGUAAUACCGUUGACAAUUUUCAAUAUCUCCACAAUGGAAAGUCUUGCUUUGAUAGGGAAUAGUUUGUUCGGUAAUUUCCUUGUUGGCAUAUGUCAUGGACUUCCAAGAGUCACAGGGCUUUAUCUAUCUUCAAGUGAAUUGGAUGGCGAUAUUCCUUUGUAUCUAUCAGAAUGUUCACAACUUCAGCUCCUUUCCCUGUCACACAACAAAUUUAGCGGAUCCAUUCCAAGAGAAAUUGGGUGCACAAGGAUGCUUCAGACUUUAUAUCUUGUUUCAAAUGAUUUGUUAGGUAUUUGAAUCAUCAUUGAUGUUGUGUUAGUACUUUAAAUUCUUAUUUAAAAUGAUUUUCGAUCAUCGAUGUAAUGAUGUUUUUAUCCAAAUCAACAUGUUGAAAAUAUUGACAGGUGAAAUUCCACAAAAGUUGGGUAACUUAGAGAACCUCGUCGAGUUAGGCAUGGGAGAUAAUUUCCUUACAGGCUCUAUACCAAUAAGUAUCUUUAACAUUUCAUCGUUGCAAUAUAUCAACAUUGCUCAGGGCAACCUAUUUGGUACACUCCCGGUAAAUAUUUGCUCUCCUCGUAACCAACUUGAAGAGGUUUAUUUGCAUCUAGACGAAUUAAUUGGCCCUGUUCCCACACGAAUAAAUGAAUGCUCUGCACUUCAGAUUUUGUCGUUAUCCUACAUUAAUUUUAGUGGAUCAAUACCACUAGGGCUUGGGAAUUUAACCAUGCUUCGGAAGCUAUAUGUUGGAUAUAAUGAGUUGACAGGUAGGACUUUCUAUAACUUAACUUUUGAGUUUGUCCUUUGUAUUCUUAUACAGAAAAUUAAAGACAGUUGCUGUUUUAAAGUUUGAGCAUUUCAUAAUUCUGUAGGUGUAAUUCCACAAGAGAUCGGAAAUCUUUACAACUUGGAGUAUCUUUAUUUUGGUGUCAAUAGCUUAAGCGGUUCCAUUCCACCAAGAAUUUUCAAUAUCUCAACAUUACUAAUGAUUUCAGUUUCAGAAAAUCAGCUUUCGGGCAAUCUGGAUAGGUUGAUUUUGGGAUAUCAGCUUCUUAAUCUUGAAGAACUCUAUUUGAACCAUAAUAAUUUCUAUGGAAGAAUACCAAAUUCUAUUGCAAAUUCUUCUGAGCUCACUAUACUAAACCUUUCUUUCAACAAUUUUACCAGACCAAUUCCCAACUUCUUAUGAGAUUUGAGAUUCCUUAAAGCGGUAUAAUUGAGUGACAACAAUUUUAUUAGUGAAUCUCCAGAAUUGAGCUUCACCACUUCAUUCACGAACUGCAGAUUUUUUAUAAAUUUGGGUUUCGGCAAUAAUCCCUAGAAUGACAUUCUUCCAGUUUUAGUUGAAAAUCUUUCCACUUCUCUUCUAUAUCUUUAUGCUGAUAAUUGUGAUCUCCGAGGUAGCAUUCCAUAUGAAAUUGGAAAUCUUAGCAGUUUGAUAGUGUUAAGUCUGUAUGGCAAUCAGUUGACACGAUCAAUACCAGGAAGCGUGGUGGAUUUGCAGAAGCUUCAAGGAUUGACUCAUUUCCGCAACAAAAUAUGAUCCUGGAUACUCUUUGUGAACUUCACAAUUUAAAGGGGUUGUUGUUGUCUCAUAAUCUAAUGAUAGGUGCCAUUCCAUAUUGCGUGGGGAAUAUUACUACACUAAGAUCUCUAUAUAUAGAUUCCAACAGAUUGACCUCCAUCAUACCUCUGAGCCUGUGGCUCUAGAAGGAUCUUCUGGAGUUGAAUCUAUCUUCAAAUUUUUUGAGUGGUCAUCUCCCUCGAGAAAUAGGGAAUCUGAAGGUUGCUCUUCUUAUUGAUCUAUCGGUGAAUAAGUUCUCAGGUAGCAUUCCAACCACAAUUGGAGAUUUACAAGGCUUGAUCAAUCUUUCCUUAGCACACAACACACUGCAAGGGUUUAUUCCUGAGUCAAUAGAUAAGCUGCUGAACUUGGAACGACUCGUUCUAAAUCACAACAAUCUUUCUAGUAAAAUUCCCAAUUCCUUGGAGACACUAAAUUAUCUCCCAUACUUUGAUGUUUCAUUCAAUGAUUUAAGUGGUGAAGUUCCCUCUAGUGGUCCUUUCAAAAACUUUCCAAGUUGAUUCUAAUUGUCUAAUAAAGGACUAUGUGGUGAUCCUGUAUAUGGUCUCCCACCAUUUCAUACUAUUGGAAAUGGUAGACAUAAGGGACGAAAAGUGAUGCUUGGAGUUGUAUUUGCUUUGUCGGGUAAUAUAGCACUAAUUAUAGUUGCUAUAGCCUUGGCAUGUGCAGUUAUAAGUUACAGAAGGAAAAAUUUGGGGAAAAGUAUAACAGAAUUUGCGACUGGCACAACGCUACCAAGGGUCUCAUAUUAUGAGCUUAUGUGAGCUAUUGAAGGGUAUAGUGAAAGCCAUUUACUUGGAUCUGGGAGUUUUGGCUGGGUCUAUAGAGGAACUCUUAAUAAUGGAAGGGAUGUGGUAGUGAAGGUGUUCGAUUUGCAACACCAAAAUGCAUUCAAGAGUUUUGAUGUAGAAUGUGAUGUCUUCCACAAUCUAUGGCAUCGAAAUUUGUGCAAAGUCAUCAGUACUUGCUCCAAUCAAGAUUUCAAGGCCUUGGUACUUUAGUACAUAUGUAAUGGAAGCCUUGAAAAGUGGUUAUAUUCAGAAAGCUAUUUCUUGGAUAGCUUGCAGAGAAUAAACAUAUUGAUAGACACAACAUGUGCAUUGGAAUAUCUGCAUUUUGGUCACUCAACACAGACUGUUCAUUGUGAUUUAAAGCCAAGUAAUGUAUUGCCGGAUGAAGAUAUGGUUGCCCACUUGUCUGAUUUCAGGAUUGCAAAGUUAUUGGGUGAAGGAGAAAGUAGUGCACAUACUACAACCUUGGAAACAUUGGGUUACAUUGCACAAAGUAAAGCUUCUAUCUUUUCUCUUGAAUAUUUAGGUACAUUUGGUACACACUAAAGAAAAAUUAGAUAAGAGAUAAAUUCAGUCUAGCAUAAUUUUUUUUUUUUGGCUAAAUAAGUCCUUGUAAUAAGAUAACUAGUGUGGGAACACGGGUUGAAGGAGGAUUUGACUCAACUAAAAACAUAGUAGAUGGCAUCAAGAACAAUUAUCCAUAAAGGAUUCAGUCAUAUGAUUAUCUCUAUAAUUUUCGUCCUCAAUUGUCGAAGACAAUUCCCUAGGAUGGGAUUUUGUCAUAUGCUUAGCAGCAUUUCGAUUUCUAAACAAACUAGACUUAGGGUAAAAAUAUUUCAGAGCUUAGAAAUAUUUUAAAUUAUUUUUUGCAAAAAAAUAAAAAUAAAAAAGUCAUGUUAUGUAUGUUUUUCAUUAUAAUACACAAAUUUUGUCAUAUACUUAGCAAAAUUUCGAUUUCUGAACAAACUAGAGUUAGGGUAAAAAUAUUUCAGAGUUUAGAAAUAUUUUAAAUUAAUUUUUGCAAAAAAAAAAAAAAAGAGUCAUGUUGGGUAUGUUUUUCAUUAUAAUACACAAUUACACAUUACACAACUUAUUAUGUUUCUAAUACUAUAUAGCAUCAAACACGAGACAACUCAUAUAUUUCAUAAUGUUUGUGUAGAGUAUGGAUUGGAAGGAUCGGUGUCAAUAAGAUCAAAUGCUUAUAGCUAUGGUAUUAUGUUAAUGGAAAUAUUUACCACAAUGAAUCAAGCAGUGAAAUAUUUUAUGGGGAAUUAAGCCUCAGGAGCUGGAUUAGUGAUUCUAUGCCCAAUGGAAUUACUCAAAUUAUAGAUUCGAGCUUGUUGGCUCCAUAAGAAGAAUAUUAUACAGGAAAGUUGAAAUGUUUGUCAUCUAUAAUGGAACUAGCUUUAAAUUGCUCCAUGUAAAGUUCAAAUGAGAGGGUGAAUAUGAAAGAAGUAGUCGUAACAUUGAAGAAGAUCAGAGAUCAGAUCCUGGCAUAGUAUCCGAAGACAAAAAGGCAACUUUAAUGUUCCAUAGUUUUAGGUUAAGUGCAAAAUGCAAAUUGUUCUCUCUGUAUAUGAUGGUUCUGUGAUACUAUUAGUUUGCCAUGUUCUUUAGUCUGUCACCUUAUAAAACAUACAAUAAAAGGUAUGUUAAAAAUGUCUUAGUUUGCAAGUUGAAUCCUCAAUACUUUUGUACUCGAACCACUUUUCAUUUUCAAUCUAGUUCUGAAAUUCAAAGGUUUAUUCAAGAUGGCUGUAUAUACACAACAAUGGAAGCACUCUGCUGGUAGAUCCUUUGGAAUUUCUUCCAUACUUAGGCUUUCUUGAUGUCUUAAUACUUUUUCGAUAUUUCUGUAGAUUUCCCGCGUUUCAAUGAAUUUUUAUUUUAUUUUUUGUUUGAAUUACUAAAUAAAAAUGGAAUGGAAAUAGAAGCUUGGCAAGUUUUCGAGACCUGCCGCUCUCUCCAUUUUUUUCCCUAGCAACCUGUUAGAAUCACUACAUUUCCCUCCCUCUUUAUUCAUAUUCUGGCUGAAAUUGCAUUCCAGAAGAUUCCAAAUUACACCCCUAAUUGAAAUAACAAAAUAAAUGGUACAAUCCCCAAUAAUCAGAGCCGUAGAUUUUCUAUGCAUCUAAAUAAUAUGAAAGCCUAUCGAUACGGUGCCACCAAAAUUCACCUUGUCCUCAAGGUGAUAGUUCGGGAAAUUUAUGGCUCAUUGAUCUUUGAAAACCAGCCAUAUGAUCAAGAGCUAAUGUGAUCUAUAAUUUAGCAACAAGAAGGAUUAAGAGCACGUUAAAAACCAGCCAUACGAGUGAAAAUAUGUCCAUCACUCAUGCUGGACAGAAAGACAGCACAUGCACAUACACGAACACGAUAUGGGAGUUUAGAACCAGUGCGUACGUGUACGCGUGCUAAUGCAUGCACAUGCAUGAACCUGAGUAGUUGUCUCAUGUACUAGAUGACGCUUGACAAAUUUUUUAUUAUUUUGGUAAUUUUAUUUAUUUUAAAUAGUCUAAGAAGGUUUAUUUAUUCUGAAAAGUUCAAAUGAGAGGAUAAAUAUGAAAGAAGUUGUCGUAGUAUUGAAGAAGAUCAGAUCCCAGAUCCUGUCAUAUUACCCGGAGACAAAAAGCCAACCUUAAUAUUCCAGAGUUUUAGGUUAGGAGUGUAAUGCAAUGUGUUCUCUGUGUAUAUGAUGAUUCUGUUAUUCUAUUAGUUUGCUAUAUUCUUUAGUCUAACGUAUAUUGUGUCGAUUACAUUAGAAGGCAUACAAUAAAAGGUGCAUUAAAAAUUUCUUAGUUUACAGGUUGAAUCCUCAAUAAUUUUGUAGUCAAACCACUUGUCUUUUUCAAUCUAAUUCUGAAAUGUAAUGUACUCAUAUAGUCAAUGUUAUACUUCACUCAAUUACAGUCAAAGUCAAGGAAUUAUAUAGUCAAUGUUAAAGUCAAAUAAGGAUUUAAGUUGGAGGAAUGAUUUUCAUGGGGUUUAAAUUGAAAUUGCUAGUACUUAAGAGGGGCCGAAAUGAUAUAAAAAUAAAUUUUGGGAUUUAGCUUCUAGUAUGAUAAAUAAGAUGAUUAAAUGUUAAAUUAUAUAAAGGUUGGGGACUUGUAUUGUAAUUAUAGUUAUGGGGUGAAAUUUGAAAUACCUUAAUAUAAAAAAAUUAAAAAGAAAAAGAAAAAGAAAAUGGUCAGGCGGUGAAUUCAAUCCAAUUCACACAUAAAUGAAAAGAAAACCCAUUUCAUUCACAUAUACAUAGAGAGAGAAAAAGAGGCAGGAAGAGAAAUGAGGAAGGAAAAAGAAGAAGAAAAAUGGGAGAAGAGGAAGAAAAAAAAUAGGAAAGUUCGCCAUGUUGUUAGAAAAUAAAUGGUCUACAUUAUUUGGCUUGAAUUCUUGAAUUUUGAAAGGUAAGUAAAAAAUUACUUUUUGUCAAGUUAUAUUUGAUUUUAUAGUUAUUAGAUUGUUAGAUUAAAUUCAAUUUUAUUAAAGGGGUUAAGUAUAAUAAACUAUAAAAUAAAGUUAAAUGAAAGAAAAACUAGUUUUAGUGAUUAAAGAGACUUUGUAAAUUAUAUCGAGAUACGGAUAUCGAGAUAGCUUACCAACCAAGUUGAUAGUGGCGUACAUAGUUCUGUGAGUAGAAAAAUAUAAUUAUUUUAAAAGUAUUUGUAAAUUAAGUAUAUUAUCAAAGUAUGUGCAAUUAUGUAAAUUAUUUGCUCGAUUAUGUGAUUACGAUGAAAAUUUCUUUUAGUAUGAUCCAUAAGGAAUUUCAAGGAUUAUUUAUGGUAUGUUUGUGAUUUGGUAUAUGAGACAUGUGAUACCUAUGAUUAUAUACUUCUUCUAAUUCACAGAAGGGCUUUGGCCGUGUUCUAUCCUACACAGAGGGUCUUGACAUGACAUUGGUCUUGAUAGUGUACAUAUAGUUCAUAGAGGGACUUUACCAGUGUUUCAUAAUUGAUUAUCAGAGGUCUUUGAGAUCGGCUUUCAUUCACGGAGGGGGCCAAAGGCCCGUGGCGAAAGUUCUUAGCCCGAGGGACGGAUUAUAAAUUUCAGUCAGAGGGUACAUUUUUUAUGGAUUUUCCAGUACAUUUGAUGUGAUGAGAUUAUAGCAUAAUUACCAGCUUAUGUUUAUAUCAUGAUUUGAGAUGAUAUUUACGAAGUUAUGAGAAUGUCUCACUUUUUGUCUAUAAUUUUAUGAGGCUAUCAUGUGAAUUACUAAACGAUAUGAACUUGAUGCCUAUGUAUGAGAAAAAUGUUUAAAUGAGAAAGUAUAAUUAUUUUCGAACUCUUCCACUCACUGAACUAUAAACUCAUAUUUUUUUCACGAUUUUUCUUACAGGUAGUAUUGGUCCCUGAUAGCUUGAGGAGCCUGGCGGUUUUAGAAUUAGAGCCACUCGACAUAUUGAGUGAUACGAUUCAUUUUGGUAAAACAUGAAGUAAUUAUUUCGGGCCCAUUGAAUUAUAUUUUUCAUAAAUAUUUGAUUUUGGCGCAUAUUUUGUAGUAAGUCAUAGUCAGCCAUGGUGGUAGAUCUGAUAUCUAGUCAGCAUCUAUCAUCGGCGCACGUCAUGUUCCUAGUCCAUUAGGGUGAUUCGGGAUGGGGAGUGUCAGUCAAAAGCUCAAUUAUGCUGCUAAGAGCCAAUUUUUACAAGGUUUAUUCACAAGAAUGAUGGCUUUCACGUCAUAAUUAUUGUGAAUUUUCCUAGACAAUUUUACAUUAUAUUGUUCAGCCUUAAAUCACCAUCUUUAUUAGAAAUAGUUUCCUGUUAUUUUGUGUUAUCCAGCUGGCAAUUCCAACUGUCGAUUAGUUAGCUUAUCAGUUAGAUAUCUGUUUGUUUCGCACGGGUUAAGUCGCUAACAAUUAAAAAGGGUCAGACGAUUGUGUAAGGGACGAAACCUCUUGAGACAAAGUCCCAAAAAGGGGUGUUCUUUUAUUGGCGAUGACUUCACAAUUGGAAAUGAAAAACAACGUGCCUCCAAGGGGCGCAAGUACACGAGUUACUGAAAGAAAAGUGUUUAAGUCUAAAAACUAAGGAAAUGAAAAUUACAUAUUCUCUGUUCGAGAGUUUUGGAUUCGCUCUUGCUUCUAUGUUCCUUUUCCCUUUUAUACUUCACAGACGAUCUCUUUGUGAUUAACUGCUCUAAAAACUGCUUGAUCGUCCUAUAACUACCCACUUUCUUCGUAGUGGCCAUUUUGUCAUGAAAAUUGUCUUUUAACUGCUGCCAUUACCUUUCAUCGUUCAACCGCUUUUCAAUUGAAUUCCUUGAGUCAUGGAACGUGAUAGGGCUGCUUUAACAACUGCCUUGGUAACUGCAUUUCUUGAUAACCACGACGCGUUAUGUCUGUUGAUACCUUGGGCGAUUUGAAGGUUUGGGCGAGAAUAGAAUAACAGCUCUGGGCGACCGUAUGACACCCUAUUCGUUCAGAUUCUGGACGACUUGCAAACUUGGGCGAUGGCGUUACCACAUUCUUGGGCCCCCUUAUUUGGGCCUUCACCUUGAUUAGUUCGAUUGGACUUCGUUCUUUGGGCUAUCCGAUUUGGGGAUCCUCCAAUUGGGCUUUACUCCUUGGGCUGUUCGAUUUGGGCUGAAUUUUUAUGUAUCAACAAUACCUCCCCAAUAUGGCAGAAUUAAUAACAAUUAUUGAAUUUUGCCAUAUUCACUUCGUGUUUCUAGCAACGUUCGAAAUUCCCAAGAAUUUCAAUCACUGUUUCCUUCUAUAACUUGAAAAGGUGCGUCGUUUUGCAAACCCUUAUAAACCCCAAACACGCCAUUUCACUGCUACCAAACCACGCCUUAUAUUUUUAGCGUCUCUUUCACGAUUCACUGUUCAUCUUUUGCUUCCUUGUUACGUAACCCUGAAAAGCUUCGUUCCUUCUCCAAUGGCUGCUUCACAAUCUCAGGCUAGCGACUCCUUUAGUUUUGAUGACUUUCAGAGACUUCUGAGUCGCCCAUACAUAACCCCAAGUUUUCUCGCACCCGCCGACGUUGGACGUAAUGAGUUCUAUUUGGGUCCUUUCUUCAACAAUGCGGAGGCAGUUGAACAGGCGGCGGUGGGUCAGCUGUUUCCCUACACUCAGGGUCCUCCAUUCCUGAACUCUCUACUGCUGGGGCCACUUCGCGGAAGAGGUAUUCGCACUUGGCCUAAAUCUGAUGUAGCUUUUCGUAGGUGGCAUGCUCGUCUUGUGGGUCAUGGUCCUACUAAAGCACUUUUUGAUAGUGCUAGGAUCUCUGAUUUGUUAGAAGUCUCUAUUCGUCCCCCUACUUUUGAUUCAGCGCUCUUUUCGAUUGCUUUGAGUUUUUGGUUCCCUGAGUAUAACACCUUUAUUUUUCCUCUUGACCCCAUGUCUAUUACGUUAAGGGAUGUUAGGGCUCUGCUGAAUCUGCCACCUUUGGGCGAUACUAUUUUCCUCGGUAUCUUAGUUUCUGGUGGCGCCCCAAAGUUUGGCAAAAACUACACCGAUUCUUAUUCAAGCCUGCAGACCCUCCACAAUCAUUCGAGCGCUGAGCUUACCCAUGCUGAGCGAGUGGCCUUUCUUUUAGUUUGGCUUUGUAAAUAUGUUUUGUGCGUGCCAAGUAUAAAGCCUUCUCUGAGUUAUUUACCUAUAGCGCACGAAUUGGCGCGUGGCAGGCCUUUGAAUUUAUGUUCUUUGUUUUUGGCUGCCCUUUAUAGAGGCAUGACUUUUCUUCAAGCUCAACUGAAGAAUGGUGCAUCUCCCACUAGCAGUGGACCUCUUUGGUUCACUCAACUGUGGUUGAGAUCCUAUUUUCCAUCGCUUGGUGCUCCAUCCAUUUCUCGUCCUUCUGCUAGCUGUUACGGGCUAGCUAUGGAGCCCUUAACUCCUGUAAAUAUGUCUAGAAGGGACAUUUUUUCAUUCUUUUAUUCUUUAGAUUCAAUCUCUUCCUUUUUUCCUUUCCCUCCUUUCUUGACUCCAAACUAUGUACAUCCCCCUUCCACUAUAGAUAGCGCGAGCACCUCUCUGCUCAUUUGGAUCCAGUUUUUAACUAGGAGGGAGCUUUUCCAUGAUAUCUUAACUGGGACCAAUGCCAAAGUGGGGGUAGAAAUUUAUGCUCCCCAAUUUUUUGCUCGUCAGCUUGGUUUUGGCCAAACUUGGCCUGUUCCUCUUUGCUAUUCGAAAAACUUAAUUGACCGUUUUCAUACCAUUAAUAAGGCGGAAGCAGAGACUAUAAACGCUCGCAACCUCCAUUUAUCAAGCCACUUCUCAUUAGCCCCUUUUAAUUCUUGUCAUGCCACUCACCCUCUUUUUGAACAACUCUGGCCAUCGGUGAAGCGCAGAUUAUUUGCGACUGAGGCCAAUCGUGCCUUUCAUUCAUUAGACCAACCGAGUAUUUCUUCUCCUCCUCCUGUUUUGGUCACUCCUUUGUCUAUUCGGAGCCCCUCUCCUUCUCGUCGCACUAAACAAUCUGUUCGCCCAUCUUCUUCUCUCCCUGCCAGGCCUACUACGGCCAAGAGUGCUCCAAGCCGCAAACGGCCAGCCUCAGCAUCUCCCAUUCUGGAGGAUGAUGUUGAUGAUGAUGAUGAUGAUGCCCCUCUUAUCGUCAGGAGGAAGGUAAUU
Molecule: long non-coding RNA, 15322 nt
Filed under: Olea europaea subsp. europaea
Lineage: Eukaryota; Viridiplantae; Streptophyta; Magnoliopsida; Lamiales; Oleaceae
Source: RNAcentral